Molecule: long non-coding RNA, 1411 nt
Filed under: Pan troglodytes (chimpanzee)
Lineage: Eukaryota; Metazoa; Chordata; Mammalia; Primates; Hominidae
Description: long non-coding RNA NONPTRT008406
Source: RNAcentral
GGCUCUGGUGAUGGUGAACAAGAGAGAUCUAGACAUGCAGAGUGGGUUUGAGUUUCUGGAAUAAGAUCGGAUCUUCAGAGAUUGUCUCAGGUGAGACUCGGGAGUCUCAGAGAUAGUAAAUUUGGGGGAGGGUUUGUCUUGCUUUCCCUUCAGGAUGAAGAUGGGAAGGUGUUGUCAGAUGAGGAUGUAAGAGCAGAGGCUGACACCUUCAUGUUUGCAGGCCAUGACAGCACAGCCAGUGGUCUCUCCUGGGUCCUGUACAACCUCGCGAGGCACCCAGAAUACCAGGAGCACUGCCGGCAGGAGGUGCAAGAGCUUCGAAGGACCGUGAUCCUAAAGAGAUUGAAUGGUCUACGACCCCUUCCGCUUCAACUCAGAGAACAGCAAGGAGAGGUCACCUCUGGCUUUUAUUCCCUUCUCUGUGGGACCCAGGAACUGCAUCAGGCAGGCGUUCGCCAUGGCGAAGAUGAAGGUGGUCCUGGCGCUGACGCUGCUGCGCUUCCGCUUCCUGCUGGACCACACGGAGCCCCGCAGGAAGCCGGAGCUGAUCAUGCGCGCUGAAGGAGGACUUUGGCUGCGAGUGGAGCCCCUGAACGCGGGCUUGCAGUGACCCUCUGAACCAUCCACCUGCCUUUCCAGAUUCUCCGGAAUAAAACUGUGCCUGGGCCUCUACUGACAGCCAGCAGGGGGCUCUUGAGGACUGGGAGGCGUCAGGGAAGGGGCAUAACCUGGGCGGGUUAGGUGGGGUGUUGUCACUGAACCCAAGAACCUGACUGCCUCUUUGGCUGAUCAUAGGGCCUCCAUGCUUUGGGAGUGUCCCAAGACCGAGGUCCUUAGCCAGCUCAGAACACAGGGAUAGAAGGGUGCAGCUUCUAUCCUGGUAGGCUUUUAGGAAUUCUUAGCUCCCUUUCUUGCCAGCAUCCCACCCUACGUCUCCCCCUUCAAGUUGAUCGCUUUUGUGAACCCCCUUCCCCUACCUUCAGACAGCUCCAUUUUUUCCCCUCUUUUGAACCCUCUGACUCUGCCCAGGCAGCCUGGCCAACAGAUACUACCUGAAUCCUCCCCCUACUCUCCUCUGCUAUGUGCCAGGCACCCUCACACAUGUCAGGGGUUCAGCACAUCCCCACCCUUUCACCUCUAGGUUCCUCCUUCAUUCCCAUCACCUGCCCAUGUUGGGGUGGGGUGCAGUCAGGGCCAUCCUGUUUGACCCUUGAGAUCCAAAGCCAGAUAACUGGAAGCAAAACACCAUCCCAAAGGCAUGACAUCUGGAACCAGACUACUUGGGCUCAAGUCUCAGCUUUGCUGUGUGGCUUGGGCAAGUUAAUUCUCCUCUCUUUUCUUCAGUUUUCUCAAGCAUAUAAUGGGGACAACAAUGCUACCUAUGUCAGGGUUUUCCUGAGGACAAAAUAUG